RNAcentral lists this ribosomal RNA (119 nucleotides) under Vigna angularis (adzuki bean). The record is from RNAcentral. Lineage: Eukaryota; Viridiplantae; Streptophyta; Magnoliopsida; Fabales; Fabaceae.
AGGUGUGAUCGUACCAGCACUAAUGCAUCGGAUCCCAUUAGAACUCCGCAGUUAAGCGUGCUUGGGCGAGAAUAGUACUAGGAUGGUUGACCUCCUGGGAAGUCCUCAUGUUGCACCUC